UAGAAACUGUAUUAAAUAUAAUGCAUUGUGAUAAGCUAGUUGUUACAAUGCGUUUAAAAUGUUUUCUAAAUUCAAAUAAAAAAUGAAUAUUGGACUAUAUCUGUAAAUGUACAAAUCAUUUACUGCUGCAUCAGAUUAUCACCAAAUUCACCAACAGUGAUGUUCAAGUGUUGGCAGUUGCAUGGUGAUAAUGUGAUUCCUCUCUCAGGCUUCUGUGGAGCCUGGUGCUGAUGUCACCUACAGCUCCAUUGACCUGCCAAAUCCAGAGCAGAUGUCCUCUAGAUGUUCUUCUGCUGCAACACCAGCCAGCGAUGUGGUCUACAGCUUAAUCACCCUGAAGCACAGCGAGUAGGGGGCAGCAACAUGGAGAUGCUCCUCUACAUGUGGGGACCUACUGCUCAGGAUGAGAUCUGUGAGGGACAGUCAGAUACUCCAGUGAUGGGGAGGGAUAAUCACCAGAGAGGAGCAUCUUACAGUGAUGUACGCUGUAUUUAAAUGGCAUGACCUGUUCUCACACUGUAUACAAUAUAUACAUAAUAUACAAUAUUCUGAGAUGGUAUUUGCCAGUGACUGUCUUUCUCUUGUGUAUCUAUGAAUUAGUGAGAGGUCUAAGGGCUUUGCUGCCCCCUGCUGGAGCAACUUCACCAUUUCUCAGCCUCCUUGCUCUCCUCUUACUGUGGAGUUAAAAGCUGCCCAGUUACAUUUUGUUUUCUUUCAGUAUACAAGCUUCACAUUUUAGAUUUUGUUUUCACAGUAUUUUUUUCACACACAAUGUUAGGCUUUUGUUUAUUGAUAAGUUGAGUAUUAUUUAAAAUGCAGACCCCAGACUGUGAGACCCCUCAUAUGUAAUGUUAAUAAAAAUGCUUUACAUUAA
Non-coding RNA from Paramormyrops kingsleyae, 874 nucleotides. The record is from RefSeq and is a predicted model, not a curated record. NCBI's taxonomy places the organism in Eukaryota, Metazoa, Chordata, Actinopteri, Osteoglossiformes, Mormyridae.